RNAcentral lists this ribosomal RNA (496 nucleotides) under uncultured bacterium. RNAcentral describes it as "partial 16S ribosomal RNA". It matches the Rfam family "Bacterial small subunit ribosomal RNA", at positions 29 to 507 of the family's 1533-position model. The record is from RNAcentral.
AUGAACGCUGGCGGCGUGCCUAAUACAUGCAAGUCGAGCGAGCAGACGAGGAGCUUGCUCCUCUGACGUUAGCGGCGGACGGGUGAGUAACACGUGGAUAACCUACCUAUAAGACUGGGAUAACUUCGGGAAACCGGAGCUAAUACCGGAUAAUAUAUUGAACCGCAUGGUUCAAUAGUGAAAGACGGUUUUGCUGUCACUUAUAGAUGGAUCCGCGCCGCAUUAGCUAGUUGGUAAGGUAACGGCUUACCAAGGCAACGAUGCGUAGCCGACCUGAGAGGGUGAUCGGCCACACUGGAACUGAGACACGGUCCAGACUCCUACGGGAGGCAGCAGUAGGGAAUCUUCCGCAAUGGGCGAAAGCCUGACGGAGCAACGCCGCGUGAGUGAUGAAGGUCUUCGGAUCGUAAAACUCUGUUAUUAGGGAAGAACAAAUGUGUAAGUAACUAUGCACGUCUUGACGGUACCUAAUCAGAAAGCCACGGCUAACUACGUG